CCCAACAAGAGAGCUUCUGGUUUUUUAACAAAAGUAGAACAAAACCUAGAAUAAAUUUGGUGCGAUUAGCACGUUGAGGAGACCCUCCUUAUUUCACUUGUCCUGAAAUAACACACAAACCAAAACACAGCUAUCUUUUGAAAGUUGCAAAGUGGCUCUCCCAGAAAAUAAUAUGGGGCAAACGUGCAUAUUUGGGGGGAAAUGGGUAUAAUGCAGAUAUUGCUGACAAUAACAUCGAAAUGUGCAGUGUGAAGAUGAAGAAACAAAGAUAUAAAUGGGCAGGUUAUCCCAUCUAUCUUCUGCAGCGGCCAAACAAAACCUGCAUUUCCAGGCUGUCGGAUGUUGGACCUUGAUUUCAAUGUAUUGAAAUCAAUAUUCAAGCCAAUAUUCAACCCAAGCCUGACUUUCAGGACAUUUCUAAGGCACACCAAGUUGCAUUAAACUCAUAUAUUUGUUACCUCUCAGGAAGCCUGCCAUAAAUAUGAUCCCAAUGACCACCUCGCAUCUCUGCGUGAUGCAGAAGACCUGCGCUUCUUAGCUCUCUACCUUUCAGCUUCACAAGUGCAACACGUUUGGAUCGGACUAUCUGACCAAGAUAAGAGUGGACAUGCAAGGGAAUGUUUGGUCCAGCCUGUCGAAACUUCCUGUUCCUCCUGGCCUGGAGCAUCCUUCCUUUUGCAUGUGACUAGUGGGUAGGCGUGACCUUUCCAGACCUGGUAAAAGGCAAGAGCAUGCCUCCACUCUCUCUCUUUCCCAUCUUCCUUUCAUCCUGCAAACUUCCUGGACUGAACUGCUGGCUGCCCCAGGUCCGUCUCCCUUACAGGCUAAUCCCAUUAGUAUAAAUUUGUAACUUUAAGCCUUAAGCCUGCCUUCAGGGAUCACACUAUGCUCUGCCUGAUCAUGAGCAAACUUUCUUUUUGUUGCUUAUAAAUAAGACUGUGGUGCCUUUAUUUUUUUAGGAGGGAUUCAAGGGGUCUUACCAGGAAAAUAUUACCCUAAUUAAAACACAUUUCAGUCUGGACAAGCCAGAUUGAAUUGCAUAUUGUCUUAAGAAACUCACACGAGUUUGCAACUAGUUUUCUGCUGUGUAAAGGGGAAUGCACUCUGCUAAGUAAAGGAACUUGCUAGCACAAGUCAUGAAGGACAUUAAUAAUAAAUAUAUCCUCUUCUGCCACCCUGAACAUUCCCACAAUGGGAAGAUCAGCCACUCUUUCUCAUUUUAGUUUCACACAGUUUUUAAGAACUCAAAUAUUUCCUGGGGGGGGGAGCAGAAUUGUGCUUGUCUUCCCCACCCCAACUCUCCUUGCUCGCCUCCUCCACACCCCAAAGGGUCAUUGUGGGCUCCUGGUUGAUGUCCUGCUAGUCAAGGAAGAUUUUCUAUGGUUCAUUUGGGUGGAAUGAUCACGUAGCAUGUUGUCUGUACUGGUGGGUCUGUUUGUGACCUGUUCUUUCUGCAUCCCUACAGGAUGGCAAAUGGGAGUGGUCAGAUGGAUCUGAAGCCUCCUUCAUGCCUUGGGGUGAGGGGGAACCUGACGAUUCUGGCGUCAAGUUUUGUGUCUUCUUGUCUCACCAAGAUGGUUUUCAGAAAUUUAGAACUGACCGUUGCCCAUACGUUGUGCCCUACGUUUGUGAGAAUAAGCCAAAGUGUUGGGGUCCGUGACCUCAUCCCUGCCUCUGGAUGACUCCAUCAAACCCAAGAGGCUUCCAUCCCACUUAGUUGCUGAGGUCCCCCAGCCCUGCCUUUCCAGCUGUACCUUUUUAGUGCCCCACUAGAUCAUGGCCCACUUACUGCUCUCACAAUGGCCAACUAGAUCCUCCCAUGGGAAUCCUAGAAGUAGGACUGAGUGCAAGAGCACCUUCCCCUGUGAGCCAAGGAUGAACGAUCUCUGUAGACCUUCAGAUGGAACAAAGCUGUGUCAUCCCAGACCAUUGCCCUGCUGGUGGCAUUUGUGCCCUUUGGGGUUCCUUAUAAGUCAGCAGGGGAUGCGGGUGGUGCUGUGGGUUAAACCACACAGCCUAGGACUUGCUGAUCAGAAGGUUGGCGGUUCGAAUCCCCGCGACGGGGUGAGCUCCCGUUGCUUGGUCCCUGCG
Molecule: long non-coding RNA, 2091 nt
Organism: Podarcis raffonei (Aeolian wall lizard)
Lineage: Eukaryota; Metazoa; Chordata; Lepidosauria; Squamata; Lacertidae
Exons: 3
Source: RefSeq, a predicted model, not a curated record